Ciona intestinalis (vase tunicate) is the source of this 559-nucleotide non-coding RNA. The record is from RefSeq and is a predicted model, not a curated record. Lineage: Eukaryota; Metazoa; Chordata; Ascidiacea; Phlebobranchia; Cionidae.
CUUUGUGCUGUAACAUAGAAACAAUAUUAACAACCAAGUUUGUCGUUUGUUAACAUAGAACGUACGAACGGAUUCAUCAAUAACCCAACACAGCGCCACCUUCUGUCUCGUUACUUCCCCUGUUUCGAACUCGACUUGUUUAACUUCAUCUCUCAACCCCUCGAUCUUGUAAACCUCAUGCUGUUCCAACUCACGAACUUUCUCUGGGGGGAAGGUGGUACGUGGUAACAGCACAACGAGCUCUUCGUUCUGGUGCGUCAACUUUUGUAAACUUUGUUCGGCUUUCUUUAAAUAAGCUUUGAACAUCGCCUCCGAGUGGUGGAGAUCAGUCCUGUUUAUAAGAUAUCCAUGUUAACAAGGUAAAGCAACUUCUAACAUAGUUUUAAGAUUUCGUAAGGAGGUAAAAUUACAAGGUUAUGCCGCAUAUGCUAGCUCCUAACGAACUACAGCCCCUAACUAGGAAACCCCCCAACAUAUUUUCAUUUGUUUCUUGUUCUUUAACGUAUGAGUGAGGAACUCACCCUCUGUGCAGUAGGAACUUUAUAAAACAACACACGCA